GGGCCUGUAGCUCAGUUGGCUAGAGCGCACGCUUCGCAUGCGUGAGGUCGCGAGUUCGACUCUCGCCAGGUCCACCA
This 77-nucleotide transfer RNA is filed under the name Candidatus Dojkabacteria bacterium. RNAcentral describes it as "tRNA-Ala". It matches the Rfam family "tRNA". From Rfam's summary of the family: Transfer RNA (tRNA) molecules are approximately 80 nucleotides in length. Their secondary structure includes four short double-helical elements and three loops (D, anti-codon, and T loops). The record is from RNAcentral.